CCAGAGGCAACUGGUCUGUGAAGCUGCUCCUUCCGUCAAUCUCUCCAGCCUUGACACCUCUUCUUCCCUAAAUGAAGGGGUGAGGGAGCCCCAGGCAGAGGGAAGAGGUGGGGAGGGCCUCCUGGGUUGGGUGAGGGUGGCCUUGUUUGUGGUCCUGAGGGCAGGGGACCCAUAAGCUUUCUCAGUCCUUCCUGGUCCCUAACUCCCUCUUGGCUCUGUGAAUGGCUCGCACACACUGGCUCUCGGGAGCAGACGUUGCGAUCCAGGAUGAGACAUAAAGUGGGUUCUUCCCAUGCACUGGUCUGUCUGGCACAAGCCACUCACCUGCACUUUCCAUCUCCAUAGCAUCUCUCUGAGGCAGGAUCUUCAUGCUAGAAAGCUAAGGUCGGAAAAGUGAGGAGAGGCCACAACCAGGAGGCACGGGGCCAGGAUUCCAGCCAGGCCUGCUGGACCAGCCAUGGGUGGUCAGCGAAGGCUAAGGGCCCUGGGAACGUGUCCUGCCAAGAUGUUUAUGAACUCUCAAAGCCCUGGGUAGCAGACGCCUAAUUGCAACCAGGAGAGAAGAGCAAACCAGCCUGCAUGACGGCCCAUUUUUCUGUUUCCAGGGCCUCUAAGCGUUUUCACUCUGCAUUUCUGAGGGGUGGCUCCCGGGCCAGCCCUGUUAGAAUCUGACACUUGGGGACCCAAUGUCUGGGUCUGCCAGAUUCCCACCCACUCUGCUCAGCUUUCCCAUCUACCUAGACCUGGAAAGGUGGACUGAGGCUGCUUUAUUGGGUCUGGAUCCGAACACACUUCUCUUUUACUCCCCACAGCAUGUCCCCAUCACUCCACAGCUCCCCCAAACCUGAAAGCUUGUCUAGGGGGAGGGGAGAAGGGGCGGAGGAAGAGGCAGAGAGGAGGUGGAGACAGAAGAGGAAAGAAGGGGUGAAGAUGCAUGAAGUCACAUGAGCACCCACUGGUGCUCCCAGAGCCUCCAGGGAAAACAGCCCUGAAGGGCCCUGGGGGAGAGGAAAUGGAUUUCAACAGGAUUCACAGAAAGCAGGUCAGACCUCGGGGAGAAUUCCUGGCUGUGCAAGAUCAACUCGGCUCUCCUUCCUGUCUUUGCUUCCUGGCCACACGUGUGGGUCAAAGGCCCUGAACACACCCUCCCUGGGCCUCCCAGCCUCUGUCCCUGCCUGGAAGACGUCCUAGGGCAAGAUGCCGCAUCUUGGAGAUCUCUCUUACUGGGGCUGGGCUAACUCUGGCUGUGCUGUCCCUGUUCUCCUCACCAGCGCGGUUUUCCAGGAGCCAAGAAGCAAUUCUGGAAUGUACAGGUAAAUCUUCACAGGUAAAGUAUAAAGGCUUUCCCAUCUUCUGCUUCUUCUUUGCUCCCUUUUCUCGAACUCAUUACUCUUCUCUUCCUGGAUGUUGCGGGGUGCUGGUGGGACCAGGGGGUUUCACAAAGGGCAGGAGCCUGCCACGUGCCUGGGGGGCACUGUCCUGUGCUGGGUCUCAGUUUCCUCCUUUGUGAGGCUGGGAGUCGCGACGCCUAUCUUGCAUGGCAGGUAAGUUGCUCUCCGCAGGGACUGUCACUUUUUUGUCUGGCACUCACGGUCAGAAAUACAUUUUACAUAUUGACCAAGUGCCCGCGUAAAUAAAUACACACGUGAAAUAAAUGCUUCACAGAGCGACACUUACUCACUGCAUGGAAUGAUCUCUGGUAUUUCCUAUCUAAUUGUUUCACUUUCGUCAAGUGCUAGUCCCCACCACGUUUUUUUCAGGACGCGGUAUUGGUCCCUGAUCUGAUGUGCACGGUCAAGAGGGAGAGACAGAAAAAAAGCAAGCGCACAGGCGCACACAUGAUCACUACCGGAGCGAAGCGCGGCGCAGGGAAGAGCGGGGUCUGAGCCAAGGGGAGAGGGGCGGGCCCAUUUCUGCACUUCACAGCGAGGCCUCGGGCAAGGCGGCAGGCAGGCCAGGUCAGACCCGGCUUUGAGGCUCUGGUGGCGGGCUGGGAUUUAUUUUAAGGGACAUGGAACGCCACCGCAGGUUUGGGGGAGGGGCAGGAUUAAAGGAGAAGAUGCGCUCAGCACGUUAUAUUUAGUGGCUGACGCGCCGGAAGGGCUCGUUACCCGCAGCUACCACUGCGCCCCACGCCCGGAGCGCGGCCCCAGCUUCGCCCCCCGGGGCAGGGAUCCCCGGUCCCCGCCUUCACCACCUGGGGCAGGAACCCCAGUCCCCCUAUCCUGUCUUCACUCCUCGGGGCAGCGACCCCGGCCUCCGCCUUCGUCCCCCGGGGCAGGGACCCACGGUCCCCGCCUUCGCCCCGCGAGCAAGGAUCCCAACCCGCCAGUGCUGGAGACGAAGAGAGUGAGGGCGGAACCUGGCCCGGCGGCCUCCCAGCCAGGGUGGACAAAGCUGUCCCGGCACGCUUCGGCAGAGGGGAAACUGAGGCCAGGGGACUGAGUCCGCAGGCUCGCAGAGCGGGGGCCUGGGGCGGGGCCGGCACGCGCGGCGGGCGGGGCCUGGCCCCGCCCCUCC
This 2520-nucleotide long non-coding RNA is filed under the name Equus asinus (donkey). Its description in RNAcentral is "lncRNA (ENSEASG00005024406.1)". The record is from RNAcentral. Lineage: Eukaryota; Metazoa; Chordata; Mammalia; Perissodactyla; Equidae.